Molecule: ribosomal RNA, 232 nt
Filed under: Bacillus amyloliquefaciens
Lineage: Bacteria; Bacillati; Bacillota; Bacilli; Caryophanales; Bacillaceae
Also listed under: 3 other names
Description: partial 16S ribosomal RNA
Rfam family: Bacterial small subunit ribosomal RNA
Source: RNAcentral
UACAUGCAAGUCGAGCGGACAGAUGGGAGCUUGCUCCCUGAUGUUAGCGGCGGACGGGUGAGUAACACGUGGGUAACCUGCCUGUAAGACUGGGAUAACUCCGGGAAACCGGGGCUAAUACCGGAUGGUUGUUUGAACCGCAUGGUUCAGACAUAAAAGGUGGCUUCGGCUACCACUUACAGAUGGACCCGCGGCGCAUUAGCUAGUUGGUGAGGUAACGGCUCACCAAGGC